Molecule: ribosomal RNA, 125 nt
Filed under: Pezizomycotina sp.
Lineage: Eukaryota; Fungi; Ascomycota
Description: partial small subunit ribosomal RNA
Rfam family: Eukaryotic small subunit ribosomal RNA
Source: RNAcentral
CCUUUGUACACACCGCCCGUCGCUACUACCGAUUGAAUGGCUCAGUGAGGCGUUCGGACUGGCCCAGAGAGGUGGGCAACUACCACUCAGGGCCGGAAACUUGGUCAAACUUGGUCAUUUAGAGG